GGGUUGUGAGGUUAAGCGACUAAGCGUACACGGUGGAUGCCCUGGCAGUCAGAGGCGAUGAAGGACGUGCUAAUCUGCGAUAAGCGUCGGUAAGGUGAUAUGAACCGUUAUAACCGGCGAUUUCCGAAUGGGGAAACCCAGUGUGUUUCGACACACUAUCAUUAACUGAAUCCAUAGGUUAAUGAGGCGAACCGGGGGAACUGAAACAUCUAAGUACCCCGAGGAAAAGAAAUCAACCGAGAUUCCCCCAGUAGCGGCGAGCGAACGGGGAGGAGCCCAGAGCCUGAAUCAGUGUGUGUGUUAGUGGAAGCGUCUGGAAAGGCGCGCGAUACAGGGUGACAGCCCCGUACACAAAAAUGCACAUGCUGUGAGCUCGAUGAGUAGGGCGGGACACGUGGUAUCCUGUCUGAAUAUGGGGGGACCAUCCUCCAAGGCUAAAUACUCCUGACUGACCGAUAGUGAACCAGUACCGUGAGGGAAAGGCGAAAAGAACCCCGGCGAGGGGAGUGAAAAAGAACCUGAAACCGUGUACGUACAAGCAGUGGGAGCACGCUUAGGCGUGUGACUGCGUACCUUUUGUAUAAUGGGUCAGCGACUUAUAUUCUGUAGCAAGGUUAACCGAAUAGGGGAGCCGAAGGGAAACCGAGUCUUAACUGGGCGUUAAGUUGCAGGGUAUAGACCCGAAACCCGGUGAUCUAGCCAUGGGCAGGUUGAAGGUUGGGUAACACUAACUGGAGGACCGAACCGACUAAUGUUGAAAAAUUAGCGGAUGACUUGUGGCUGGGGGUGAAAGGCCAAUCAAACCGGGAGAUAGCUGGUUCUCCCCGAAAGCUAUUUAGGUAGCGCCUCGUGAAUUCAUCUCCGGGGGUAGAGCACUGUUUCGGCAAGGGGGUCAUCCCGACUUACCAACCCGAUGCAAACUGCGAAUACCGGAGAAUGUUAUCACGGGAGACACACGGCGGGUGCUAACGUCCGUCGUGAAGAGGGAAACAACCCAGACCGCCAGCUAAGGUCCCAAAGUCAUGGUUAAGUGGGAAACGAUGUGGGAAGGCCCAGACAGCCAGGAUGUUGGCUUAGAAGCAGCCAUCAUUUAAAGAAAGCGUAAUAGCUCACUGGUCGAGUCGGCCUGCGCGGAAGAUGUAACGGGGCUAAACCAUGCACCGAAGCUGCGGCAGCGACGCUUAUGCGUUGUUGGGUAGGGGAGCGUUCUGUAAGCCUGUGAAGGUGUGCUGUGAGGCAUGCUGGAGGUAUCAGAAGUGCGAAUGCUGACAUAAGUAACGAUAAAGCGGGUGAAAAGCCCGCUCGCCGGAAGACCAAGGGUUCCUGUCCAACGUUAAUCGGGGCAGGGUGAGUCGACCCCUAAGGCGAGGCCGAAAGGCGUAGUCGAUGGGAAACAGGUUAAUAUUCCUGUACUUGGUGUUACUGCGAAGGGGGGACGGAGAAGGCUAUGUUGGCCGGGCGACGGUUGUCCCGGUUUAAGCGUGUAGGCUGGUUUUCCAGGCAAAUCCGGAAAAUCAAGGCUGAGGCGUGAUGACGAGGCACUACGGUGCUGAAGCAACAAAUGCCCUGCUUCCAGGAAAAGCCUCUAAGCAUCAGGUAACAUCAAAUCGUACCCCAAACCGACACAGGUGGUCAGGUAGAGAAUACCAAGGCGCUUGAGAGAACUCGGGUGAAGGAACUAGGCAAAAUGGUGCCGUAACUUCGGGAGAAGGCACGCUGAUAUGUAGGUGAAGCGACUUGCUCGUGGAGCUGAAAUCAGUCGAAGAUACCAGCUGGCUGCAACUGUUUAUUAAAAACACAGCACUGUGCAAACACGAAAGUGGACGUAUACGGUGUGACGCCUGCCCGGUGCCGGAAGGUUAAUUGAUGGGGUUAGCGCAAGCGAAGCUCUUGAUCGAAGCCCCGGUAAACGGCGGCCGUAACUAUAACGGUCCUAAGGUAGCGAAAUUCCUUGUCGGGUAAGUUCCGACCUGCACGAAUGGCGUAAUGAUGGCCAGGCUGUCUCCACCCGAGACUCAGUGAAAUUGAACUCGCUGUGAAGAUGCAGUGUACCCGCGGCAAGACGGAAAGACCCCGUGAACCUUUACUAUAGCUUGACACUGAACAUUGAGCCUUGAUGUGUAGGAUAGGUGGGAGGCUUAGAAGUGUGGACGCCAGUCUGCAUGGAGCCGACCUUGAAAUACCACCCUUUAAUGUUUGAUGUUCUAACGUUGACCCGUAAUCCGGGUUGCGGACAGUGUCUGGUGGGUAGUUUGACUGGGGCGGUCUCCUCCUAAAGAGUAACGGAGGAGCACGAAGGUUGGCUAAUCCUGGUCGGACAUCAGGAGGUUAGUGCAAUGGCAUAAGCCAGCUUGACUGCGAGCGUGACGGCGCGAGCAGGUGCGAAAGCAGGUCAUAGUGAUCCGGUGGUUCUGAAUGGAAGGGCCAUCGCUCAACGGAUAAAAGGUACUCCGGGGAUAACAGGCUGAUACCGCCCAAGAGUUCAUAUCGACGGCGGUGUUUGGCACCUCGAUGUCGGCUCAUCACAUCCUGGGGCUGAAGUAGGUCCCAAGGGUAUGGCUGUUCGCCAUUUAAAGUGGUACGCGAGCUGGGUUUAGAACGUCGUGAGACAGUUCGGUCCCUAUCUGCCGUGGGCGCUGGAGAACUGAGGGGGGCUGCUCCUAGUACGAGAGGACCGGAGUGGACGCAUCACUGGUGUUCGGGUUGUCAUGCCAAUGGCACUGCCCGGUAGCUAAAUGCGGAAGAGAUAAGUGCUGAAAGCAUCUAAGCACGAAACUUGCCCCGAGAUGAGUUCUCCCUGACCCUUUAAGGGUCCUGAAGGAACGUUGAAGACGACGACGUUGAUAGGCCGGGUGUGUAAGCGCAGCGAUGCGUUGAGCUAACCGGUACUAAUGAACCGUGAGGCUUAACCUUACAACGCCGAAGGUGUUU
This 2931-nucleotide ribosomal RNA is filed under the name Escherichia coli. Its description in RNAcentral is "23S ribosomal RNA". It matches the Rfam family "Bacterial large subunit ribosomal RNA". Lineage: Bacteria; Pseudomonadati; Pseudomonadota; Gammaproteobacteria; Enterobacterales; Enterobacteriaceae. The record is from RNAcentral.